GACGAACGCUGGCGGCGUGCCUAAUACAUGCAAGUAGAACGCUGAAGAGAGGAGCUUGCUCUUCUUGGAUGAGUUGCGAACGGGUGAGUAACGCGUAGGUAACCUGCCUUGUAGCGGGGGAUAACUAUUGGAAACGAUAGCUAAUACCGCAUAACAAUGGAUGACACAUGUCAUUUAUUUGAAAGGGGCAAUUGCUCCACUACAAGAUGGACCUGCGUUGUAUUAGCUAGUAGGUGAGGUAAUGGCUCACCUAGGCGACGAUACAUAGCCGACCUGAGAGGGUGAUCGGCCACACUGGGACUGAGACACGGCCCAGACUCCUACGGGAGGCAGCAGUAGGGAAUCUUCGGCAAUGGGGGCAACCCUGACCGAGCAACGCCGCGUGAGUGAAGAAGGUUUUCGGAUCGUAAAGCUCUGUUGUAAGUCAAGAACGGGUGUGAGAGUGGAAAGUUCACACUGUGACGGUAGCUUACCAGAAAGGGACGGCUAACUACGUGCCAGCAGCCGCGGUAAUACGUANGUCCCGAGCGUUGUCCGGAUUUAUUGGGCGUAAAGCGAGCGCAGGCGGUUUGAUAAGUCUGAAGUUAAAGGCUGUGGCUCAACCAUAGUUCGCUUUGGAAACUGUCAAACUUGAGUGCAGAAGGGGAGAGUGGAAUUCCAUGUGUAGCGGUGAAAUGCGUAGAUAUAUGGAGGAACACCGGUGGCGAAAGCGGCUCUCUGGUCUGUAACUGACGCUGAGGCUCGAAAGCGCGGGGAGCGAACAGGAUUAGAUACCCUGGUAGUCCACGCCGUAAACGAUGAGUGCUAGGUGUUGGAUCCUUUCCGGGAUUCAGUGCCGCAGCUAACGCAUUAAGCACUCCGCCUGGGGAGUACGACCGCAAGGUUGAAACUCAAAGGAAUUGACGGGGGCCCGCACAAGCGGUGGAGCAUGUGGUUUAAUUCGAAGCAACGCGAAGAACCUUACCAGGUCUUGACAUCCCGAUGCUAUUUCUAGAGAUAGAAAGUUACUUCGGUACAUCGGUGACAGGUGGUGCAUGGUUGCCGUCAGCUCGUGUCGUGAGAUGUUGGGUUAAGUCCCGCAACGAGCGCAACCCCUAUUGUUAGUUGCCAUCAUUCAGUUGGGCACUCUAGCGAGACUGCCGGUAAUAAACCGGAGGAAGGUGGGGAUGACGUCAAAUCAUCAUGCCCCUUAUGACCUGGGCUACACACGUGCUACAAUGGUUGGUACAACGAGUUGCGAGUCGGUGACGGCGAGCUAAUCUCUUAAAGCCAAUCUCAGUUCGGAUUGUAGGCUGCAACUCGCCUACAUGAAGUCGGAAUCGCUAGUAAUCGCGGAUCAGCACGCCGCGGUGAAUACGUUCCCGGGCCU
Molecule: ribosomal RNA, 1369 nt
Filed under: uncultured bacterium
Lineage: Bacteria
Description: bacterial SSU rRNA
Rfam family: Bacterial small subunit ribosomal RNA
Source: RNAcentral